UUUCUAAUAUGGUAUCAGAGCUU
RNAcentral lists this small nuclear RNA (23 nucleotides) under Arabidopsis thaliana (thale cress). Its description in RNAcentral is "snRNA_02148". Lineage: Eukaryota; Viridiplantae; Streptophyta; Magnoliopsida; Brassicales; Brassicaceae. The record is from RNAcentral.